AAUAUUGGGCAAUGGGCGCAAGCCUGACCCAGCGACGCCGCGUGCGGGAGGACGCCCCUCGGGGUGUAAACCGCUGUCAGGAGGGACGAACCCUUCGGGUGGGAAUACUGCCUGGAGCUGACGGUACCUCCAAAGGAAGCGCCGGCUAACUCCGUGCCAGCAGCCGCGGUAAGACGGAGGGCGCGAGCGUUGUUCGGAAUCACUGGGCGUAAAGCGCGCGCAGGCGGGUGUGCAAGUCGGAAGUGAAAUCCCGGGGCUCAACUCCGGGGCUGCUUCCGAAACUGCGGACCUGGAGACCGGUAGAGGUGGGUGGAAUUCCCGGUGUAGCGGUGGAAUGCGUAGAGAUCGGGAAGAACACCUGUGGCGAAGGCGGCCCACUGGGCCGGAUCUGACGCUGAGGCGCGAAAGCGUGGGGAGCAAACAGG
This 425-nucleotide ribosomal RNA is filed under the name uncultured bacterium. RNAcentral describes it as "bacterial SSU rRNA". It matches the Rfam family "Bacterial small subunit ribosomal RNA", at positions 360 to 776 of the family's 1533-position model. The record is from RNAcentral.